Molecule: transfer RNA, 72 nt
Filed under: Zoroaster ophiactis
Lineage: Eukaryota; Metazoa; Echinodermata; Asteroidea; Forcipulatida; Zoroasteridae
Description: tRNA-Val
Source: RNAcentral
UCUUGGUAAAGCUUAUUAGCAAGCAUCUCUUUUACACAGAGCAGAAAUUUGUGCAAUUCAAAUUACCCAGAA